GUGCUCGCUUCAGCAGCACAUAUACUGAAAUUAGAACGAUAACAGAAACAUUAGCACCACCCCUGUGCAAGGACAACAUGCAAAUAUGUGAAGCAUUCCAUUUUUUU
This is a small nuclear RNA of Nannospalax galili (Upper Galilee mountains blind mole rat), 107 nucleotides long. The record is from Ensembl. Lineage: Eukaryota; Metazoa; Chordata; Mammalia; Rodentia; Spalacidae.